AAAUUGAAGAGUUUGAUCAUGGCUCAGAUUGAACGCUGGCGGCAGGCCUAACACAUGCAAGUCGAGCGGAAACGAGUUAUCUGAACCUUCGGGAAACGAUAACGGCGUCGAGCGGCGGACGGGUGAGUAAUGCCUAGGAAAUUGCCCUGAUGUGGGGGAUAACCAUUGGAAACGAUGGCUAAUACCGCAUGAUGCCUACGGGCCAAAGAGGGGGACCUUCGGGCCUCUCGCGUCAGGAUAUGCCUAGGUGGGAUUAGCUAGUUGGUGAGGUAAGGGCUCACCAAGGCGACGAUCCCUAGCUGGUCUGAGAGGAUGAUCAGCCACACUGGAACUGAGACACGGUCCAGACUCCUACGGGAGGCAGCAGUGGGGAAUAUUGCACAAUGGGCGCAAGCCUGAUGCAGCCAUGCCGCGUGUGUGAAGAAGGCCUUCGGGUUGUAAAGCACUUUCAGUCGUGAGGAAGGUAGUGUAGUUAAUAGCUGCAUUAUUUGACGUUAGCGACAGAAGAAGCACCGGCUAACUCCGUGCCAGCAGCCGCGGUAAUACGGAGGGUGCGAGCGUUAAUCGGAAUUACUGGGCGUAAAGCGCAUGCAGGUGGUUUGUUAAGUCAGAUGUGAAAGCCCGGGGCUCAACCUCGGAAUAGCAUUUGAAACUGGCAGACUAGAGUACUGUAGAGGGGGGUAGAAUUUCAGGUGUAGCGGUGAAAUGCGUAGAGAUCUGAAGGAAUACCGGUGGCGAAGGCGGCCCCCUGGACAGAUACUGACACUCAGAUGCGAAAGCGUGGGGAGCAAACAGGAUUAGAUACCCUGGUAGUCCACGCCGUAAACGAUGUCUACUUGGAGGUUGUGGCCUUGAGCCGUGGCUUUCGGAGCUAACGCGUUAAGUAGACCGCCUGGGGAGUACGGUCGCAAGAUUAAAACUCAAAUGAAUUGACGGGGGCCCGCACAAGCGGUGGAGCAUGUGGUUUAAUUCGAUGCAACGCGAAGAACCUUACCUACUCUUGACAUCCAGAGAACUUUCCAGAGAUGGAUUGGUGCCUUCGGGAACUCUGAGACAGGUGCUGCAUGGCUGUCGUCAGCUCGUGUUGUGAAAUGUUGGGUUAAGUCCCGCAACGAGCGCAACCCUUAUCCUUGUUUGCCAGCGAGUAAUGUCGGGAACUCCAGGGAGACUGCCGGUGAUAAACCGGAGGAAGGUGGGGACGACGUCAAGUCAUCAUGGCCCUUACGAGUAGGGCUACACACGUGCUACAAUGGCGCAUACAGAGGGCGGCCAACUUGCGAAAGUGAGCGAAUCCCAAAAAGUGCGUCGUAGUCCGGAUUGGAGUCUGCAACUCGACUCCAUGAAGUCGGAAUCGCUAGUAAUCGUGGAUCAGAAUGCCACGGUGAAUACGUUCCCGGGCCUUGUACACACCGCCCGUCACACCAUGGGAGUGGGCUGCAAAAGAAGUAGGUAGUUUAACCUUCGGGGGGACGCUUACCACUUUGUGGUUCAUGACUGGGGUGAAGUCGUAACAAGGUAGCGCUAGGGGAACCUGGCGCUGGAUCACCUCCUUA
RNAcentral lists this ribosomal RNA (1553 nucleotides) under Vibrio alginolyticus. RNAcentral describes it as "bacterial SSU rRNA". It matches the Rfam family "Bacterial small subunit ribosomal RNA". Lineage: Bacteria; Pseudomonadati; Pseudomonadota; Gammaproteobacteria; Vibrionales; Vibrionaceae. The record is from RNAcentral.